GACGAACGCUGGCGGCGUGCUUAACACAUGCAAGUCGAACGGAAAGGCCUCUUUCGGGGGGUACUCGAGUGGCGAACGGGUGAGUAACACGUGAGUAACCUGCCCUUGACUUUGGGAUAACUUCAGGAAACGGGGGCUAAUACCGGAUAGGAGCUCCUGCUGCAUGGUGGGGGUUGGAAAGUUUCGGCGGUUGGGGUUGGACUCGCGGCGUAUCAGCUUGUUGGUGGGGGAGUGGCUUACCAAGGCUUUGACGGGUAGCCGGCCUGAGAGGGUGACCGGCCACAUUGGGACUGAGAUACGGCCCAGACUCCUACGGGUGGCAGCAGUGGGGAAUAUUGCACAAUGGGUGGAAGCCUGAUGCAGCAACGCCGUGUGCGGGAUGACGGCCUUCGGGUUGUAAACCGCUUUCGCUCAUGACGAAGCUUUGUGUGACGGUAGUGGGUAAAGAAGCACCGGCUAACUACGUG
Molecule: ribosomal RNA, 467 nt
Filed under: uncultured bacterium
Lineage: Bacteria
Description: partial 16S ribosomal RNA
Rfam family: Bacterial small subunit ribosomal RNA
Source: RNAcentral